CACGGGUGAGUAACACGUAUCCAACCUGCCGAUGACUCGGGGAUAGCCUUUCGAAAGAAAGAUUAAUACCCGAUGGCAUAGUUCUUCCGCAUGGUAGAACUAUUAAAGAAUUUCGGUCAUCGAUGGGGAUGCGUUCCAUUAGGUUGUUGGCGGGGUAACGGCCCACCAAGCCUUCGAUGGAUAGGGGUUCUGAGAGGAAGGUCCCCCCACAUUGGAACUGAGACACGGUCCAAACUCCUACGGGAGGCAGCAUG
RNAcentral lists this ribosomal RNA (254 nucleotides) under uncultured bacterium. RNAcentral describes it as "partial 16S ribosomal RNA". It matches the Rfam family "Bacterial small subunit ribosomal RNA", at positions 100 to 353 of the family's 1533-position model. The record is from RNAcentral.